CAAUAGCGUAUAUUAAAGUUGUUGCGGUUAAAAAGCUCGUAGUUGGAUUUCUGCUGAGGACGACCGGUCCGCCCUCUGGGUGAGUAUCUGGCUCGGCCUGGGCAUCUUCUUGGAGAACGUAGCUGCACUUGACUGUGUGGUGCGGUAUCCAGGACUUUUACUUUGAGGAAAUUAGAGUGUUUCAAGCAGGCACACGCCUUGAAUACAUUAGCAUGGAAUAAUAAGAUAGGACCUUGGUUCUAUUUUGUUGGUUUCUAGAAUUGAGGUAAUGAUUAAUAGGGAUAGUUGGGGGCACCUGUAUUGCGUUGUCAGAGGUGAAAUUCUUGGAUUUACGCAAGACAAACAGCUGCGAAAGCGUCUGCCAAGGAUGUUUCCAUUAA
This 380-nucleotide ribosomal RNA is filed under the name uncultured eukaryote. RNAcentral's name for it is "partial 18S ribosomal RNA". It matches the Rfam family "Eukaryotic small subunit ribosomal RNA", at positions 592 to 976 of the family's 1831-position model. The record is from RNAcentral.